RNAcentral lists this transfer RNA (82 nucleotides) under Penicillium paxilli ATCC 26601. RNAcentral describes it as "tRNA-Leu (CAA) (tRNA-Leu-CAA-1-1)". It matches the Rfam family "tRNA". Rfam says of the family: Transfer RNA (tRNA) molecules are approximately 80 nucleotides in length. Their secondary structure includes four short double-helical elements and three loops (D, anti-codon, and T loops). Further hydrogen bonds mediate the characteristic L-shaped molecular structure. tRNAs have two regions of fundamental functional importance: the anti-codon, which is responsible for specific mRNA codon recognition, and the 3' end, to which the tRNAs corresponding amino acid is attached (by aminoacyl-tRNA synthetases). tRNAs cope with the degeneracy of the genetic code in two manners: having more than one tRNA (with a specific anti-codon) for a particular amino acid; and 'wobble' base-pairing, i.e. permitting non-standard base-pairing at the 3rd anti-codon position. Lineage: Eukaryota; Fungi; Ascomycota; Eurotiomycetes; Eurotiales; Aspergillaceae. The record is from RNAcentral.
GGUAGUGUGGCCGAGUGGUCUAAGGCGUACGACUCAAGUUCGUAUGGCGCAAGCCUCGUGGGUUCGAAUCCCACCGCUAUCA